Molecule: long non-coding RNA, 253 nt
Organism: Physella acuta
Lineage: Eukaryota; Metazoa; Mollusca; Gastropoda; Physidae
Source: RefSeq, a predicted model, not a curated record
UUGAUCAACACUACUCAUAUUAUCAUAUAGAGGACAGAGUAGGCAAAUGGUUUAGGACACUAUUGCUAAACAUAAAGCCAAGCCUCCAGGUGUUGUGUGUAUCAAUCAGCCCACUGGAGAUAUAUCAAUCUUUUAAUAAAUUAUAAGGUCUCCACUGCUUGAUACUUCACCAAAUACUGGCUACACCAGAAGAUUACUAAAUGUUCUUAACACUUAAUAACUACCACAAGCAUUACUUCUGGGUCACUCUGAA